RNAcentral lists this ribosomal RNA (253 nucleotides) under uncultured bacterium. RNAcentral's name for it is "partial 16S ribosomal RNA". It matches the Rfam family "Bacterial small subunit ribosomal RNA", at positions 524 to 776 of the family's 1533-position model. The record is from RNAcentral.
UACGAAGGGGGCUAGCGUUGCUCGGAAUCACUGGGCGUAAAGCGCACGUAGGCGGACUCUUAAGUCAGGGGUGAAAUCCUGGAGCUCAACUCCAGAACUGCCUUUGAUACUGGGAGUCUUGAGUUCGGGAGAGGUGAGUGGAACUGCGAGUGUAGAGGUGAAAUUCGUAGAUAUUCGGAAGAACACCAGUGGCGAAGGCGACUUACUGGACACAUAUUGACGCUGAGGUGCGAAAGCGUGGGGAGCAAACAGG